GGGCCCGCACAAGCGGUGGAGUAUGUGGUUUAAUUCGAUGCAACGCGAAGAACCUUACCAGGGUUUGACAUCCUGCGAAUCUCUUGGAAACAGGAGAGUGCCUUCGGGAACGCAGUGACAGGUGGUGCAUGGCUGUCGUCAGCUCGUGUCGUGAGAUGUUGGGUUAAGUCCCGCAACGAGCGCAACCCACGUCUUUAGUUGCCAGCAUUUAGUUGGGCACUCUAGAGAGACUGCCCGUGAUAAGCGGGAGGAAGGUGUGGAUGACGUCAAGUCCUCAUGGCCCUUACGGGUUGGGCUACACACGUGCUACAAUGGUAGUGACAAUGGGUUAAUCCCAAAAAGCUAUCUCAGUUCGGAUUGGGGUCUGCAACUCGACCCAUGAAGUCGGAAUCGCUAGUAAUCGC
This 404-nucleotide ribosomal RNA is filed under the name uncultured bacterium. RNAcentral's name for it is "bacterial SSU rRNA". It matches the Rfam family "Bacterial small subunit ribosomal RNA", at positions 917 to 1345 of the family's 1533-position model. The record is from RNAcentral.